AGUGAACGCUGGCGGUAGGCCUAACACAUGCCAGUCGAACGGCAGCACAGUAAGAGCUUGCUCUUACGGGUGGCGAGUGGCGGACGGGUGAGGAAUACAUCGGACUCUACUUUUUCGUGGGGGAUCACGUAGGUAAACUUACGCUAAUACCGCAUACGCCCUACGGGUGAAAGCAGGGGAUCUUCGGACCUUGCGCGAUUGAAUGAGCCGCUGUCGGGUUAGCUAGUUGGCGGGGUAAAGGCCCACCAAGGCGACGAUCCGUAGCUGGUCUGAGAGGAGGAUAAGCCACAUGGGAAGUGAGACACGGACCAGACUACUAAGGGAGGGAGCAGUGGGGAAUAUGGGACAAUGGGCGCAAGCAUGAUACAGCCAUAGCGCGUGGGUGAAGAAGGCGUUCGGGGCGUAAAGACCUUUUGUUGGGAAAGAAAAGCAGCAGGUUAAUACCCAGCUGUUGUGACGGUAACGAAAGAAUAAGCACCGGCUAACUUCGUG
RNAcentral lists this ribosomal RNA (492 nucleotides) under uncultured bacterium. RNAcentral's name for it is "partial 16S ribosomal RNA". It matches the Rfam family "Bacterial small subunit ribosomal RNA", at positions 29 to 507 of the family's 1533-position model. The record is from RNAcentral.